GCCAUGCAUGUCUAAGUAUAAAGGUUACAUACAAUGAAACUGCGAAUGGCUCAUUCAAACAGUUAUAGUUUAUUUGGAUUAAAACAUUUGUUUAAAUGGAUAACCGUAGUAAUUCUAGGGCUAAUACAUGCGUUACGAGGGACUUUUUGGAACCUCAGUAUUUAUUAGAUUUCAAACCAAUAUUCCGCAAGGUCUACUGAGAUGAUUCAUGAUAACUGAUCGAAUUGCCGGUCUACCGGCAAUAAGUCAUUCAUGUUUCUGCUUCCCAUCAGCUUGAUGGUAGUGUAUUGGACAACCAUGGCAUUCACGGGCUAUCGGGGGAUUAGGGUUCGAUUCCGGAGAGGGAGCCUGAGAAACGGCUACCACUUCUACGGAAGGCAGCAGGCGCGAAAAUUAUCCAAUCCUGAUUCAGGGAGGUAGUGAAAGAAAUAAUGAACUAGGAUUUAUCCUGGGGUCACAAUGGGCUUGAUUUGCAAACUUUAUUUAGCGAGGAACAAUUGGAGGGCAAGUCUGGUGCCAGCAGCCGCGGUAAUUCCAGCUCCAAUAGUGUAUAUUAAUGUUCCUGCAGUUAUUCGAUGCUCGUAGUUGGAUUUCUGGGGGCUGAGAUUGGAAGGUGGCCAAGGUCACCGCCGAACUCUUCCUUCAUCCACCUGUUAACGUUGUCCGGGAUUUGUUUCUCGGCUUCAGGCUCAGGUAUUUUACCCUUUCUAUAUAUUCAUUUAUUUAUCUUCUUUUUGAGUAAAUUAUAGUGUUUCAGGCAGGCGUGCGCCGGAAUACUUUAGCAUGGAAUAAUCGAAUUGGACCGUGUAUUCUUAUAGAAUUCUUCCUUAUUUGUUGGUUUCAAGGACACGGAAAUGGUUAAUAGGGAUAGUGUUUUCAGGGGAGGCAUUAGUAUUUAAUUUCCAGAGGUGAAAUUCUUUGAAAUAUUAAAGACUAACUUAUGCGAAAGCAUUUAUUUUGCCAAUAAUGUUUUCAUUAAUCAUUGAACGAAAGUUAGGGGAUCAAAGACGAUCAGAUACCGUCCUAGUCUUAACCAUAAACGUUGCCGACUAGGGAUCGGAGGGCGUGCACAUUCCGCCUUCGGCACCUUACGAGAAAUCAAAGUCUUUUGGGUUCUGGGGGUAGUAUGGUCGCAAGGCUGAAACUUAAAGGAAUUGACGGAAGGGCACCACCAGGAGUGGAGCUUGCGGCUCAAUUUGACUCAACACGGGAAAUCUUACCAGGUCCAGACAUAGCGAGGAUUGACAGAUUGAUAGCUCUUUCUUGAUUCUAUGGGUAUUUAUUUUAAUUUUGGUGGUGCAUGGCCGUUCUUAGUUGGUGGAGUGAUUUGUCUGGUUAAUUCCGUUAAACGAACGAGACCUCAGCCUGCUAAAUAGUUACC
This 1381-nucleotide ribosomal RNA is filed under the name metagenome. Its description in RNAcentral is "SSU rRNA". It matches the Rfam family "Eukaryotic small subunit ribosomal RNA", at positions 48 to 1363 of the family's 1831-position model. The record is from RNAcentral.